RNAcentral lists this small RNA (514 nucleotides) under Pongo abelii (Sumatran orangutan). RNAcentral describes it as "retained intron". The record is from RNAcentral. Lineage: Eukaryota; Metazoa; Chordata; Mammalia; Primates; Hominidae.
AUUCUUCUCCUUCUAACAUUCUUAUGUUUUGUUUCUUUUCCAAUAGGUUCCAAAGUCUGGCGCGCCCCAGCUUGUGAGUAUUUUUGCCUGGGUUAUUUCAUGUGGAAUAUUUUAUAACGUUGCAUAGAAAAUGAACAGUUUAAACUGUGGAGGGCAGCUUCAUUCAUUCCAUUCCUUACUGUAGAACUGUUUCCCUACAGCCUAGUAAUAGAGAAGGAGACAUUUCUAAAAUCGUACCCAGAACUGUCUACACCAAGAGCAAAGAUUCGACUGUCAAUCACACUUUGACUUGCACCAAAAUACCACCUAUGAACUAUUUGUCAAAGAGCCUGCCAUUCGCUGCAAGGUUGAACACCCCCAUGGGCCCUGGACGAACUGUCGUCAUUAAAGGAGAAGUGAAUGCAAAUGCCAAAAGCUUUAAUGUUGACCUACUAGCAGGAAAAUCAAAGGAUAUUGCUCUACACUUGAACCCACGCCUGAAUAUUAAAGCAUUUGUAAGAAAUUCUUUUCUUCA